Molecule: ribosomal RNA, 253 nt
Filed under: uncultured bacterium
Lineage: Bacteria
Description: partial 16S ribosomal RNA
Rfam family: Bacterial small subunit ribosomal RNA
Source: RNAcentral
UACGUAGGGGGCUAGCGUUGUCCGGAAUCAUUGGGCGUAAAGCGCGUGUAGGCGGUCCGGUAAGUCCGCUGUGAAAGUCGGGGGCUCAACCCUCGAAUGCCGGUGGAUACUGUCGGGCUAGAGUACGGAAGAGGCGAGUGGAAUUCCUGGUGUAGCGGUGAAAUGCGCAGAUAUCAGGAGGAACAUCAAUUGCGAAGGCAGCUCGCUGGGACGUUACUGACGCUGAGACGCGAAAGCGUGGGGAGCAAACAGG